GACGAACGCUGGCGGCGAGCCUCGUACAUGCAAGUCGAACGAUAAGGCCCUUCGGGGUACAUAAGUGGCGGACGGGUGAGUAAUGCGUAGGAAAUCUGCCUUAAGGUGAGGGACAACCUCGGGAAACUGGGGCUAAUACCUCAUAUGUGGUAAUUUGAAAUAGUUAUCAUGAAAGAUUCAUUGCCUUAAGAUGAGCCUGCGUCUGAUUAGCUAGUUGGUAGGGUAAUGGCUUACCAAGGCGACGAUCAGUAGCUGGUUUGAGAGGAUGAUCAGCCACAAUGGGACUGAGACACGGCCCAUACUCCUACGGGAGGCAGCAGUAGGGAAUUUUGCGCAAUGGGCGAAAGCCUGACGCAGCUACGCCGCGUGAGCGAUGAAGCCCUUUGGGGUGUAAAGCUCAGUCAGUGGGGACGAAAAUUGACGGUACCCACAGAGGAAGCAUCGGCUAACUACGUGCCAGCCGCCGCGGUAA
RNAcentral lists this ribosomal RNA (472 nucleotides) under uncultured bacterium. RNAcentral describes it as "partial 16S ribosomal RNA". It matches the Rfam family "Bacterial small subunit ribosomal RNA", at positions 28 to 523 of the family's 1533-position model. The record is from RNAcentral.